This 253-nucleotide ribosomal RNA is filed under the name uncultured bacterium. RNAcentral's name for it is "partial 16S ribosomal RNA". It matches the Rfam family "Bacterial small subunit ribosomal RNA", at positions 524 to 776 of the family's 1533-position model. The record is from RNAcentral.
UACGAAGGGGGCUAGCGUUGCUCGGAAUCACUGGGCGUAAAGGGUGCGUAGGCGGGUCUUUAAGUCAGGGGUGAAAUCCUGGAGCUCAACUCCAGAACUGCCUUUGAUACUGAGGAUCUUGAGUUCGGGAGAGGUGAGUGGAACUGCGAGUGUAGAGGUGAAAUUCGUAGAUAUUCGCAAGAACACCAGUGGCGAAGGCGGCUCACUGGACCGGUUCUGACGCUGAGGCGCGAAAGCGUGGGGAGCAAACGGG